RNAcentral lists this small nucleolar RNA (121 nucleotides) under Sorex araneus (European shrew). Its description in RNAcentral is "Small nucleolar RNA SNORA27 (ENSSARG00000019276.1)". The record is from RNAcentral. Lineage: Eukaryota; Metazoa; Chordata; Mammalia; Eulipotyphla; Soricidae.
UAAGCCCCUCACCUUCUGUACUUAAAAUACAUGCUAGCAUUCAAGCGGGGCAAAGGAAGUGUCCUUUUAAAACUCAAGCAAAAUGGGUGUUUGUCUUGUAUCCUGUCAACGUGAAAAAAAA